Molecule: ribosomal RNA, 253 nt
Filed under: uncultured bacterium
Lineage: Bacteria
Description: partial 16S ribosomal RNA
Rfam family: Bacterial small subunit ribosomal RNA
Source: RNAcentral
UACGGGGGGGGCAAGCGUUGUUCGGAAUUAUUGGGCGUAAAGAGCUCGUAGGCGGCUUGUCACGUCGGGUGUGAAAGCCCGGGGCUUAACCCCGGGUCUGCAUUCGAUACGGGCUAGCUAGAGUGUGGUAGGGGAGAUCGGAAUUCCUGGUGUAGCGGUGAAAUGCGCAGAUAUCAGGAGGAACACCGGUGGCGAAGGCGGGUCUCUGGGCCGAUACUGACGCUGAGGAGCGAAAGCGUGGGGAGCGAACAGG